RNAcentral lists this transfer RNA (72 nucleotides) under Camelus dromedarius (Arabian camel). It matches the Rfam family "tRNA". Rfam says of the family: Transfer RNA (tRNA) molecules are approximately 80 nucleotides in length. Their secondary structure includes four short double-helical elements and three loops (D, anti-codon, and T loops). The record is from Rfam by way of RNAcentral. RNAcentral also lists the same sequence under 1 other name. Lineage: Eukaryota; Metazoa; Chordata; Mammalia; Artiodactyla; Camelidae.
GAGGGUAUAGCUCAGUGGUAGAGUGUGUGCUUAGCAUGCACAAGGUCCUGGGUUCAAUCGCCAGUAUCUCCA